Molecule: long non-coding RNA, 596 nt
Organism: Gavialis gangeticus (Gharial)
Lineage: Eukaryota; Metazoa; Chordata; Crocodylia; Gavialidae
Exons: 2
Source: RefSeq, a predicted model, not a curated record
GCCUGUUCCUGAUCUGUAUGUCUUUGUGUGUGUCUGCUUAGUGUUAAGCAUCUGCAUUAGUUCAGGAAGGACUUUAUACACAUAGAAAGUAGAGGAAGAAUGACAAUUUCAAACACAAGGUUCCAGCAGCUUGUUUGUCUUUGCCUUUAUUGCCUGUAGUACUUUUCAUGUAAUGAAUGGCAAAAUUCACACAGCUGGGAAAACAGGAGGAAAAAAGAUUCCAGAUGGACUUGAAUCUGCAAGGUCAGAGUAUUUUGAUCUUACUCCAAUAGAUCACUUAAACAUGCUGAACUUGAAACGUGUAGUCACAUGAGAAGGCAGUAAGGAUGUCCAUUAGCUAAAAUUUCAGCAUGUACUAAGUGUUCUUUUGGAGUGGCGUCAGAAUGGCUUGGAAUCUGUAUCUGAUUUCACAUAGCUGCUGGAGCUUUCACUUCAACAUGUCCUGACUUUAAUAACUUUUAAGCUGUACAGCUGUAUUGUUCCUCUUCAUUGGGAGGAGGCACAUUGGCAGGUAGGGCAGCAAUCUGAUGCAUAUUCACCCGAGUACAAGAUGACCCCAAAUUAAAGACACCCCCCAAUUAUUAGGUUCUAGGCAU